Molecule: ribosomal RNA, 422 nt
Filed under: uncultured bacterium
Lineage: Bacteria
Description: partial 16S ribosomal RNA
Rfam family: Bacterial small subunit ribosomal RNA
Source: RNAcentral
GAAUUUUGGACAAUGGGGGCAACCAUGAUCCAGCCAUCCCGCGUGUGCGAUGAAGGCCUUCGGGUUGUAAAGCACUUUUGGCAGGGAAGAAAAGGCUCUGGCUAAUACCUGGAGCUGCUGACGGUACCUGCAGAAUAAGCACUGGCUAACUACGUGCCAGCAGCCUCGGUAAUACGUAGGGUGCAAACGUAAACCGGAAUUACUGGGCGUAAAGCGUGCGCAGGCGGUUCGGGCAGAAGGAUGUGGAAUCCCAGGGCUUAACCUUGGAACUGCAUUCUUAACUGCCGGGCUAGAGUAUGUCAGAGGGGGGUAGAAUUCCGCGUGUAGCAGUGAAAUGCGUAGAGAUGCGGAGGAAUACCGAUGGCGAAGGCAGCCCCCUGGGAUAAUACUGACGCUCAUGCACGAAAGCGUGGGGAGCAAAC